CCUACGGGAGGCAGCAGUGGGGAAUAUUGGACAAUGGGCGAAGGCCUGAUCCAGCAAUUCCGCGUGUGUGAAGAAGGCCUUCGGGUUGUAAAGCACUUUAGUGGGGGAAGAAACAGCUUGGCCACACCAAGCCUUGACGGUACCCCAAGAAUAAGCACCGGCUAACUCUGUGCCAGCAGCCGCGGUAAUACAGAGGGUGCAAGCGUUAAUCGGAUUUACUGGGCGUAAAGGGUGCGUAGGUGGCUAUUUAAGUCGGAUGUGAAAGCCCGGGGCUCAACCUCGGAAUUGCAUUCGAUACUGAGUGGCUAGAGUUCGGUAGAGGGCGGCGGAAUUUCCGGUGUAGCGGUGAAAUGCGUAGAUAUCGGAAGGAACAUCAAUGGCGAAGGCAGCCGCCUGGGCCUGGACUGACACUGAGGCACGAAAGCGUGGGUAGCAAACAGGAUUAGAUACCCUGGUAGUCCACGCCGUAAACGAUGAGAACUUGACGUUGGUUCGUUUUACGAAUCGGUGUCGCAGCUAACGCGAUAAGUUCUCCGCCUGGGGAGUACGGCCGCAAGGUUGAAACUCAAAGAAUUGACGG
RNAcentral lists this ribosomal RNA (580 nucleotides) under uncultured bacterium. RNAcentral's name for it is "bacterial SSU rRNA". It matches the Rfam family "Bacterial small subunit ribosomal RNA", at positions 338 to 916 of the family's 1533-position model. The record is from RNAcentral.